Molecule: long non-coding RNA, 138 nt
Organism: Xiphophorus hellerii (green swordtail)
Lineage: Eukaryota; Metazoa; Chordata; Actinopteri; Cyprinodontiformes; Poeciliidae
Exons: 2
Source: RefSeq, a predicted model, not a curated record
UAAGCCUUCUAAUGCAGAACCAAAACUAUGUAUUAAAAAAAUAAAACAAAACAAAAAAUAGAAAACAAAAGAGUGACGUACCCUAAUUAUAUCCAGUCCCCCUUUUUAAACAAAACCCAAGGGUAAGAAAUACUUAUC